GAUGAACGCUAGCGGCAGGCCUAACACAUGCAAGUCGAACGGUAACAUAGACUGCUUGCAGUCUGAUGACGAGUGGCGAACGGGUGCGUAACGCGUAUGCAACUUACCCUUAACUGGAGAAUAGCCUUUCGAAAGGAAGAUUAAUACUCCAUAGUAUUUUUUCUCGGCAUCGAGAAAUUUUUAAAGCUUUGGCGGUUAAGGAUAGGCAUGCGUAAGAUUAGCUAGUUGGUAAGGUAACGGCUUACCAAGGCUACGAUCUUUAGGGGGCCUGAGAGGGUUAUCCCCCACACUGGUACUGAGACACGGACCAGACUCCUACGGGAGGCAGCAGUGAGGAAUAUUGGUCAAUGGACGAAAGUCUGAACCAGCCAUGCCGCGUGCAGGAUGACUGCCCUACGGGUUGUAAACUGCUUUUAUAUAGGAAGAAACCCCUUUACGUGUAAAGGGCUGACGGUACUAUAAGAAUAAGGACCGGCUAACUCCG
Molecule: ribosomal RNA, 484 nt
Filed under: uncultured Flavobacteriales bacterium
Lineage: Bacteria; Pseudomonadati; Bacteroidota; Flavobacteriia; Flavobacteriales
Description: bacterial SSU rRNA
Rfam family: Bacterial small subunit ribosomal RNA
Source: RNAcentral